RNAcentral lists this ribosomal RNA (2183 nucleotides) under Microbacterium sp. RNAcentral's name for it is "bacterial LSU rRNA". It matches the Rfam family "Bacterial large subunit ribosomal RNA", at positions 1 to 2006 of the family's 2925-position model. Lineage: Bacteria; Bacillati; Actinomycetota; Actinomycetes; Micrococcales; Microbacteriaceae. The record is from RNAcentral.
UUCAAGUCUUUAAGAGCAAACGGUGGAUGCCUUGGCAUCUGGAGCCGAAGAAGGACGUAGCAAUCUGCGAUAAGCCUCGGGGAGUGGAUAAGCACACUUUGAUCCGAGGAUCUCCGAAUGGGGAAACCCCGCUGGGCGGCGUGCCGACCCAGUGACUCCCGCCUGAAUAUAUAGGGCGGGUAGAGGGAACGUGGGGAAGUGAAACAUCUCAGUACCCACAGGAAGAGAAAGCAACCGCGAUUCCGUUAGUAGUGGCGAGCGAAACCGGAACAGGCUAAACCGAGUACGUGUGAUAUCCGGCAGGAGUUGCGUAUUCGGGGUUGUGGGACUUUUCGUGUUGUUCUGCCGAACAGCAAGCGUUACAAGAAGGUAUAGACGAAUGGCAUUGAAAGGCCAGUCAUAGAGGGUGCCAACCCCGUAGUCGAAAUGCCUCCCUUGGCGCGAGAAGUAUCCCAAGUAGCACGGGGCCCGAGAAAUCCCGUGUGAAUCUGUCAGGACCACCUGAUAAGCCUAAAUACUCCCAGAUGACCGAUAGCGGACAAGUACCGUGAGGGAAAGGUGAAAAGUACCCCGGGAGGGGAGUGAAAUAGUACCUGAAACCGUUUGCUUACAAACCGUUGGAGCAGCCCUAGCAGCUGUGACAGCGUGCCUUUUGAAGAAUGAGCCUGCGAGUUAGCGAUAUGUGGCGAGGUUAACCCGUGUGGGGUAGCCGUAGCGAAAGCGAGUCUGAAUAGGGCGAUUCAGUCGCAUGUCCUAGACCCGAAGCGAAGUGAUCUAUCCAUGGCCAGGCUGAAGCGACGGUAAGACGUCGUGGAGGGCCGAACCCACUUAGGUUGAAAACUGAGGGGAUGAGCUGUGGAUAGGGGUGAAAGGCCAAUCAAACUUCGUGAUAGCUGGUUCUCUCCGAAAUGCAUUUAGGUGCAGCGUUGCGUGUUUCUUGCCGGAGGUAGAGCUACUGGAUGGCCGAUGGGCCCUACAAGGUUACUGACGUCAGCCAAACUCCGAAUGCCGGUAAGUGAGAGCGCAGCAGUGAGACUGUGGGGGAUAAGCUUCAUAGUCGAGAGGGAAACAACCCAGACCACCAACUAAGGUCCCUAAGCGCGUGCUAAGUGGGAAAGGAUGUGGAGUUGCUCAGACAACCAGGAGGUUGGCUUAGAAGCAGCCACCCUUGAAAGAGUGCGUAAUAGCUCACUGGUCAAGUGAUUCCGCGCCGACAAUGUAACGGGGCUCAAGCACGCCACCGAAGUUGUGGCAUUGACAUUAUUGGUAGGCCUUCGUGGUCCAGCCGUGUUGAUGGGUAGGAGAGCGUCGUGUGGCCAGCGAAGCGGCGGUGUGAACCAGCCGUGGAGGCUACACGAGUGAGAAUGCAGGCAUGAGUAGCGAAAGACGUGUGAGAAACACGUCCUCCGAAAGACCAAGGGUUCCAGGGUCAAGCUAAUCUUCCCUGGGUAAGUCGGGACCUAAGGCGAGGCCGACAGGCGUAGUCGAUGGACAACGGGUUGAUAUUCCCGUACCGGCGAAGAACCGCCCCAAUCAAUCCAGUGGUGCUAAGUGCCCGAAUCCCUUUGUACGAUCCCUUCGGGGUGAGGCAUUGGGCCUAGCGCACGACCCCAUGCUGGUGCGGUUAGCGUAUUAACAGGUGUGACGCAGGAAGGUAGCCCAAGCCAGGCGAUGGUUGUCCUGGUGCAAGUGCGUAGGCCGAGUGAUAGGCAAAUCCGUCACUCAUAUGGCUGAGACACGAUGCGGAUAAAAAGUGGGUGAUCCUAUGCUGCCGAGAAAAGCAUCGACGCGAGGUUCUAGCCGCCCGUACCCCAAACCGACUCAGGUGGUCAGGUAGAGAAUACCAAGGAGAUCGAGAGAAUCGUGGUUAAGGAACUCGGCAAAAUGCCCCCGUAACUUCGGGAGAAGGGGGGCCUUCGACGUAUUAGGACUUGCUCCGAAAGCGUUUGGAGGCCGCAGAGACUAGUGGGUAGCGACUGUUUACUAAAAACACAGGUCCGUGCCAAGUCGCAAGACGAUGUAUACGGACUGACGCCUGCCCGGUGCUGGAAGGUUAAGAGGACGGGUUAGCGCAAGCGAAGCUCAGAAUUUAAGCCCCAGUAAACGGCGGUGGUAACUAUAACCAUCCUAAGGUAGCGAAAUUCCUUGUCGGGUAAGUUCCGACCUGCACGAAUGGCGUAACG